CAGCAGCCGCGGGAAUACGAAGGGUGCAAGCGUUACUCGGAAUUACUGGGCGUAAAGCGUGCGUAGGUGGUGGUUUAAGUCCGUUGUGAAAGCCCUGGGCUCAACCUGGGAAUUGCAGUGGAUACUGGGUCACUAGAGUGUGGUAGAGGAUAGUGGAAUUUCCGGUGUAGCAGUGAAAUGCGUAGAGAUCGGAAGGAACAUCUGUGGCGAAGGCGGCCAUCUGGGACAACACUGACGCUGAGGCACGAAAGCGUGGGGAGCAAACAGGAUUAGAUACCCCUGUAGUCCCUGUCUCUUAUAU
RNAcentral lists this ribosomal RNA (301 nucleotides) under uncultured bacterium. Its description in RNAcentral is "partial 16S ribosomal RNA". It matches the Rfam family "Bacterial small subunit ribosomal RNA", at positions 509 to 809 of the family's 1533-position model. The record is from RNAcentral.